GGCUCAGAGCGAACGCUGGCGGCAGGCUUAACACAUGCAAGUCGAGCGGGCGUAGCAAUACGUCAGCGGCAGACGGGUGAGUAACGCGUGGGAACGUACCUUUUGGUUCGGAACAACACAGGGAAACUUGUGCUAAUACCGGAUAAGCCCUUACGGGGGAAGAUUUAUCGCCGAAAGAUCGGCCCGCGUCUGAUUAGCUAGUUGGUGAGGUAACGGCUCACCAAGGCGACGAUCAGUAGCUGGUCUGAGAGGAUGAUCAGCCACAUUGGGACUGAGACACGGCCCAAACUCCUACGGGAGGCAGCAGUGGGGAAUAUUGGACAAUGGGCGCAAGCCUGAUCCAGCCAUGCCGCGUGAGUGAUGAAGGCCCUAGGGUUGUAAAGCUCUUUUGUGCGGGAAGAUAAUGACGGUACCCGCAAGAAUAAGCCCCCGGCUAACUUCGUGCCAGCAGCCCCGGUAAUACGAAGGGGGCUAGCGUUGCUCGGAAUCACUGGGCGUAAAGGGUGCGUAGGCGGGUCUUUAAGUCAGGGGUGAAAUCCUGGAGCUCCAACUCCCAGAACUGCCUUUGAUACCGAAGAUCUUGAGUUCCGGAGAGGUGAGUGGAACUGCG
This 610-nucleotide ribosomal RNA is filed under the name uncultured bacterium. RNAcentral describes it as "bacterial SSU rRNA". It matches the Rfam family "Bacterial small subunit ribosomal RNA", at positions 21 to 671 of the family's 1533-position model. The record is from RNAcentral.